GUGGGUGUAGCUCAGCCCGGUUAGAGCAUCAGGUUGUGGCCCUGGGGGUCGCGGGUUCAAAUCCCGUCACCCACC
Molecule: transfer RNA, 75 nt
Filed under: candidate division Zixibacteria bacterium RBG_16_43_9
Lineage: Bacteria; Pseudomonadati; Candidatus Zixiibacteriota
Also listed under: 1 other name
Description: tRNA-His
Rfam family: tRNA
About the family: Transfer RNA (tRNA) molecules are approximately 80 nucleotides in length. Their secondary structure includes four short double-helical elements and three loops (D, anti-codon, and T loops). Further hydrogen bonds mediate the characteristic L-shaped molecular structure. tRNAs have two regions of fundamental functional importance: the anti-codon, which is responsible for specific mRNA codon recognition, and the 3' end, to which the tRNAs corresponding amino acid is attached (by aminoacyl-tRNA synthetases). tRNAs cope with the degeneracy of the genetic code in two manners: having more than one tRNA (with a specific anti-codon) for a particular amino acid; and 'wobble' base-pairing, i.e. permitting non-standard base-pairing at the 3rd anti-codon position.
Source: RNAcentral